RNAcentral lists this non-coding RNA (251 nucleotides) under Pelosinus sp. Its description in RNAcentral is "T-box sequence". It matches the Rfam family "T-box leader". From Rfam's summary of the family: Uncharged tRNA acts as the effector for transcription antitermination of genes in the T-box leader family. T-boxes are found upstream of many aminoacyl-tRNA synthetase genes and some amino acid biosynthetic genes usually in Gram-positive bacteria. Lineage: Bacteria; Bacillati; Bacillota; Negativicutes; Selenomonadales; Sporomusaceae. The record is from RNAcentral.
GUAAAUACGAUGAAUAGGAUAAGUAAGUUAGUGGCAUUUUACAGAGAGCCAGGGGGCGGUGUGACCUGGUAAAUGUGCUGAUUGAAAUACACCUAGGAGUAGCAGGUUGAAAAGGUAAAAGUAGACCGUGCCGGAAUGCCACCGUUAUUAUAGGCUAGAGUAUCAGGUAAUUAUGCCUCGUACUUGAAAUGAUGAAUUAGCUUGCAAUGCAAGCAGGGUGGUAGAGCGAGUGAUAACAUCUCGUCCCUGUA